This 7216-nucleotide long non-coding RNA is filed under the name Sus scrofa (pig). RNAcentral's name for it is "lncRNA (ENSSSCG00065051736.1)". Lineage: Eukaryota; Metazoa; Chordata; Mammalia; Artiodactyla; Suidae. The record is from RNAcentral.
UGUGGUGUAAGAGGUAACCUGGCGAGUGGCAGCAGCGCUCCUCGGGUCCUGUGGCUCACGCUUUGGUACUAGAGGCCGGACUGUUCUGGCGACCGCGACCUCUGCGGCAACGGCUGAAGUUCUCGGAGGAGUAUCGGAGUACGGUCUGGAGGAGAGGCUUCUGGUCUGCCCAGGCAGCUGGAAGGUGAACGCGAGAGAGGAAGAAUACACUGUACAGGGAACUUUGCAAGGUUGGGAACUUUUAAUCGGUUUUGUUAAUGGUAAACCAUUCUUGCCUUUCUUAAAAAGGCAUCUGAUCAUUAUAUCCUUGCCGGAAUCUUUGUCCCAUUACAGUUGUUUUGGUAAUAAUUUUUGAACAUGCAGACGAGAAGGGUUAUUGGCAGCAAGAAAUUUUAAAUGUUAUUUUUAAGUAGAUAGAAUUGGAUUAUACUUGAAACAGCUUAACGGCGCUUCUAGAGUUUGCAGGGUAAGUAAGGACUUGACCAUCCUACUUUGUCAUAACAUAUAGGAUACACAUUAGCUGUAUUGCACAAUGUGAUUUGAUCUCACUCAGCCUGUGGAUAAUAUAGCAUUGACUCUGUUUAAAAACAGCAUUGUUUAUUCCCCUUUCACAAUUUGUGUUCACCUUCAUAGUUAUCAGUUUGGAUUUCAAUAGUGUUGGUUCUAUCCAUAUGUUUCUAGAUAGAAGUACCAAUUAUGUUGUGCCUAAAUAAAAUAUGCCAAGAAUUUUAUGAGGAAAAGGUAACUUAUUGUACUCAGUUUUGAUUGAGACUUUAGAGUUUUGAAAAUAUUAGUGUAUUUGUUUGACAGUGAGGAUUUUGUUGGUAGGGAUGGAGGAAAUUGAAGUAUUGGGUUAAGCCUGAUGGGUCCUUUAGCCUGUGUGCGUGGGGAUGGGGUGAGGGAGAAAGAACACACACGUGUACAAAACCUUGUAGAUUCUAACAGUGCUUAGUUCCAUGACUUUAUGUGAAUUGAAAUUGGUUUUUCUAGUUUUUAGUGGGGCGAUGUAAGCAGUGAGUUUAACAUCAUCUCCACUGUGUUUUGGCCAGAAUUUUGCAAGCUUUUGUGAAAAAUUCUUAUUUUUUCCUUACACUAUUUGUGACAUAUAUAUCAAUAUGCUUCCUUGUAUUUUACUAUGGUAAGAUUGUAUCUUGUAUAUAGAGAAAUAAGUCUAAUAGAGUGAAUUAAAAGGAAUCUUUGAGGAGGCAGCAUUGUCUAAUGGACCAUAUGUUUGAUCCUUGUUAAUACAGGAAAUCACACUGAAAAGAGGAAGGUCUUAAAACUGUUCUAACAAAUGCCCAGGUGUAUAGAACAAUAAAAAGAAUUUAUGACAGAACUAUUAGCAGUCAUCAAAUAAGAGUCCUAGACAAAUUUCAAACCUAUGAGUUGGUCACUAUUGUGGGAUAUUAUAAGGCUGCAGUUGAAAACAAAGUUAUUUUUGUACAGCCUUUUUGUUUGUGGUUUUGUUUAGAAAGUUCUUGUUUGCAAAUUUAGAGCACUGUAGCUAUUGAUUUCUUCAUAGAUACUUUACUUUUAAAGAGCUCAUAGUAUCAUGGGAGAGACACCUGUAAACCAAGAAUUAGAUGCAGGAGAGGUUCUGCAGUAUAAGUUGUGUACAGAGCCCGGAGAAGCUCUGUGGCCCAGUAUUCUGGCUUCAUCUCCUGCUGCUCUAGGCCUUCUAGAAUGCCAUUUCCUAACUAACUGUUCGUUUCACAACCUGGUCCUCUCCCUAUAGGUGCUCUUCUCUCUUCUUGAAAGCCUUUUCCGUACCUUAUGUGCCUGGUGAGGUCCCAAUUUCAAAAUCUUCUUGAAGUCUGCCACUGCCUACGCUCCACCCAAAUAAUUGUUUUCUAUAUUCUUCUGUUAUCUCGCUAUGAAUAAUUACAGUGAUUUUCAUUAUUCACAGUGAUUAUGGUCCAUAAAAUCACACAGAACACUAAAUUAGCAAAUACUGAACAGUUGCUCCUAGGGAAAAUAGGUAUGUUUCUCAUAUACAUUUUAAUCUUAAAUUUUAAAUUCAACUCAUCCUGGUAAAUUCUAUUUUCUUUAUUUAACAAAAAAGAAAAUGAGAUUCAGAAGUGUUAAGCGACGUGCCUGAGGCCAACCAACCCCGUAACAGGUUCCAGUUAGAAUUCAAAUCCUGUCUUACUGGCCCUUGAGCCAGAGCUUCUUGCACUACACUGCACUGCCCUCUCCUGGCUGUGCCCUGAAUUAUCUCUAUGAGUGCUUAAAUGAGCAGAGCAGUGCCUAGUUCAAACUUCUUGGAUGGGAACCAUGCGCUAAGGGGUGACUCAGAAUUUUUCCCACUCUGUGCAUGUCCGUGAAUGACUAUGGAAGCACCGUCAGUAUUCAUUUGGUGGUUACAAAUAAAUUUUGGCAAGCAGGCAAAUUUCCAAAUACAGGAUCCACAAAUAAUGAGGAUCAACUGUAUUUGUGAAUGAGCCCUGGAGUCUGUUUCAUGGUAACCCGUCCCUGCAAUCAACAGUGGAAUGUGCUGUUUUAUCCAACAGAUAUUCAUUAAGCACUUACUAUAAGCCAGGCCGUUUUAGGCUGUGGUGACCAAACUGGAAAUUAAGCUGCUGUCCUUAUGCAUGUUAAAUUUGAAUAAGCCAGCUAAAAGCCUGGAGCUCAGGGGAGAGAUCUAGUUUGUAAUUAGAGGGUAACUUGACCAACGUGACUUGACCAACCUUGUGUGGUCCUUCCCACUUCAUAUUCCUUAGCAUGUUGAUUUCCAGAACAUUUCAGUUUUGCUCUUUGCAUAAACCCUCUCUUUUGAGCAACUCUUUACUUGUCACUAGUUUAUUUUGAGGCUGUUUACCCAUAAAACUGGCAGGAUAUUGUAGAAGAAACAGGCUAAUGUGGUCUUUGAUUUCUGCCUUUGCCACCUCCCAACUGAGUGACUUUGGUCACACUGUUGAACUUUUUAAACCUGUUUCCUGAUGUCAGAAGUAGUAAUAUGAUGUUCUAGCCCCUGUGGAUUGCAAGGGAGAGGCACACACAUAUUACCUUUGAUGACAAGGAUUUAAUGUAAACAUGAACGGGAUAUCAUCUCAGCCACCGUACUGUCCCUUAGCCCUAGUGCUUUUUAAAACAGAAUCUGCUGUAUAGCACAGAGAACUCUACCCACUAGUCUAUGAUAAUCUGUGUGGGAAAAGAAUCUGAAAGAGAAUGGAUGUGUGUAUAUGUAUAACUGAAUCACUUUGUUGUACAGCAGAAAUUAUCACAACUUUGUAAAUCGACUAUACUUUAAUAAAACUUUUUAAUAAAAAAACCUUAAAGAGCACUAACUUAGUAGUGUUUAGGAUAGGAUUUGAGCUCUGGAGACCCGCCCUCUAUUACUUUGUUCACUCAAGCUUUGUGUUUCCUAGGAGAGAGCAUCUGAUUGGAUUGGUUUGCCACCUUCUAAAAUGGAGGACCCCUAUUGAGCAGAAUUUUUAACCAAAGCCGUAUCCUAGGUGAUCUCCCUCAAGUUCAGCCCUUAAUUAGGGCUCUGAGUCUGGUCCAGGAGUUUGUGGCCAAAGAAGUAGGAUUAGUUUCAUGUAUUAUAUGUGGCAAAGACUGUAGCAUAUAUAAAAAGAACCCCUUGGAGAGAGAUUCUUCCAAAAGCAACCAAGGAUAGAGCAGUCCUUAGGAUGCCAAUUCAAUAACCUAUCUGAUACGCUCAUAGACAAUGUUUAAUAAAGCACCUAACAAAGUAAUUGACACAUGUCAAAUAUUGCAUAGAGCUCCCUUUUGAUGUUGCCGUUAACAUUAUAGUGUGAUUGUUUGUUCAUGUGGCUGUCUUCCUUCCUAGACUAUGAGCUCCAUGAGGGAGAGUCAACAUCUUCAUCCUUCUAACCUUGGCAUUGAGUGCAGUGCCUGAUACAUUGUAAUAAAUAUACACAUGUCUGAAUUGAAGCAUUCCCUAACUUGUCCUGAAAGGGUAGAAUAAUGUGAAAGCUUUUCAGAGAAGGUAUAGUUUAAACUGGUUCUUAAAGAAUGAGUAGAAUGUUUUCCAGGUGAAUAAAACCUUGUGGCAGCAUUCCAAAUAGGGACCAGCAGGUGCAAAAGAACAGAGAUAGAAGAAGAUAACCAUGACCAGUAACAGAUGCAAAUUUUAGGGAGAAAGUGUAAUACUCUCAAGGUGUUAGCAGGGUAUCAAUAAUAAAUAGAGUUUAGAAAUACAAGUAUUGACUUUUGGGAACCAUUACACUGUAGUGAAAUUAUUUACUUCAUCAUGAAGCUCACGUGUAUCUUGUACUGUUCAAGGUGCUAAAAAUGUAAUGAAACUUAUUCUCAGAAGGCUCACAAGCUCACAAGUAGAUGGAGGAACUGGUUUGUCAUGUAAGGUAAUAAAGAUAUGAAAAAAAAAAAGCUGUCUAAACCAGGAGAAAGGAGUAUUUAGUAAUAUGGAGCAAUGGAGGAGAUUACUCAAAUGAGGUGGUGUUUGAGCUAGGCCUUGGUAGGUAAAGAAGUAGGAGUUCACUAGACCGAAAGUAAGGAUUUAUGGGGACUAUUUGUGGUAGGAGAGAUUUAAGAAUUAUCCAGUUUGCCAUUUCUGUUUUGGGCACUCAGUUAAUAGUUUUGUUUAUUCAAGCAGUUUCUCUGAGCAUAUGAAUGUGAAUAGUUAUGCUACAGUAGAACUUUGUGUCAAAAUAAACUGGGUUAAACAAAGGUUUCUGAAAUGCAGGUCUUCUCAAGAGCCUUUAUUAUGUUAAUAUCCUUUGUCAAUUGUGGCUCUCCAAAAGGACUACAUUAUAUUUAACUAUGGCUUCUCCUCCUUCUCCCUUUGCAACAUACCUAAACAUCUUUUGAAACAAAAUUACAUAAGAUACAGUUUGAGGAGUUCCCUGGUGGCUCAGUGGGUACAGGAUCCAGCAUUGUCACUGCUGUGGCUCAAAUCAUUGCUGUGGUGCAAGUUUGAUCCCUUCUCUACAAAAUUCUUCAUGCUGCAGGCAAGGCCAAGACAAACAAAAAGACAUAGUUUGAGAGAUGAUGAAUUAAAACAUAUUUUUAUCAAGCCAAAAUUUAUCAGUAGUCUCCAGGUACAUUGUAAAAUAAUGUAUAAUUGCAUAAUCUUAGAGCAAAGAAGAAAGGACAUUUGGAGAGAAAAAAUACGUUCUAGCCAAGUUAUUAUCAUCUUGGUCAUUAAAUCCCAAACUUAUAAAAAUUCUUAUAUGAUCACACUCUCCCUUGAAAACUAUGGCUUAUUCAUAUUUUGAAAUUCUGUAAGGUGAUCAGAGACACCCUGCGGUGUGGCAGAAACAGAGCAGGAGUGAACAGUGGUGACCAAGGCAAAGGUCAUCUUGGAAGUGAGACUCUUCCAACCUGAGAGGAUGCUACUUUUAUUAUGCAUUCAUUUUAGGCCAUAUUAGGCAUAUAUUUCGCUGUUGGGUAUUUUAUUUAAGAGCAUAACAGAAAUCCACACCCUCUUCUGACUUUGGAAUUGUGCGUUCUCUUUUCAAUAAGAGAAAAUAAUGACUGAGGCCUUACUGUGUAAUUUUAAUUAUCUGUCAAAUUCUGAUUGUGUGAUUAAAUUCCUAGGCAUUGUUAAAAUUAAAGAAGCAAUGGUCAUGCUUUUGACAGUUCACUGAAUUUGAAGUGAGAAGAUCUACAUUUGAAAUUCAUCUUGGCCAGCUUUCUAUUUGGAUGACCUUGGACACAACUGCCUAACCAUCUCUAGCCUCCUUUUCCAGUACUUCUUCCUUUUCCAUUUUAACCAAAUGCAAAUACAUAGGGUUAGUGUAAGAAUUAAAUGAUGCUUAUAAGCAUGCUUUAUGAGCUCUGAAGCACUGUACAAAUAAAAGGCUGAAGGAAUAUGCUGAGGCUGAGCUUAAUUUGAAUUAACAUUUUACUUUUAGUUUUUAAUUUUAUAUUAUAGAAAUAGUGCAUAUGUACCAUUAUAAAAUUAGAAAGCAUAGAUAGGCAAGGGAGGGGGCUACAAAGAACUUCCUACAUCUGCCAUAGUGAGACAGUGGUUACCAUUUUGAUGGAUAUAUAUAGUUUCUAUGCAUAUUUGUGUAUGUAUAUGUGUAUGCAUUGUGUAAUAGAAAUGGGCUCAUCUUGGUUGGUUUGUUUAGUCACUUUAUUUUUGUAAGUCCCCUAAGAGUACAUUUACUUGAUUCAAGGAAUUAUUCCAUCUUUUGCUACAUAUUUCUUGUAUAUAAUGAGAACUAUAAUGAGAAAGAGCUAACUUCUCAGCCUGGUGAACGUGUGACCUUGUGGUAAUCUAAUAUCCUAAACCAUUUCCAAAGCUUCAUGAAUGGCACAUUCAGAAAUGGACUUGAUGUGGGUAUGUGGCUAUGAUUGGCAUUGUUGGUAAUAGCUUAAGGAUGACUCCAGUGUGUCCGUGAGGAGCUCGUUAACCAUGGUAUAUCCAACCCAUGGAAUAUUACAUAGUUUUGAAAAGAGUGAGGAAAAUAGAAGGGUAGAACAAGAAUAUAUAUUGCUAGUAAUUGCAAAACGAAAUUCUGAAAUGGUAUAUAAGAGACCAUUGAAAGAAAUAGUGGGGGAGUUCCCGUUGUGGCGCAGUGGUUAGCGAAUCCGACUAGGAACCAUGAGGUUGCGGGUUCGGUCCCUGCCCUUGCUCAUGUGGGUUAACGAUCCGGCGUUGCCGUGAGCUGUGGUGUAGGUUGCAGACGCGGCUCGGAUCCCGAGUUGCUGUGGCUCUGGCGUAGGCCGGUGGCUACAGCUCCGAUUCAACCCCUAGCCUGGGAACCUCCAUAUGCCGCGGGAGCGGCCCAAGAAAUAGCAACAGCAACAACAACAAAAAGACAAAAGACAAAAAAAAAAAAAAAAAAAAAAAAAAAAAGAAAUAGUGGGAAUGGGAUUUCACCAUAUGCCUUUAUAUGUUUAUAUAUUAAAAAAAUUUUUGAAUCAUGUGUUUGUAUUACCUUUUCAAAAAAUGAGUGAAUGAAUGGAUGAUAUGGAGAUAAGAGAAAGAGAUGAAAUGAUUUAAAACUUCCAGAUGGCACUGCCUAUUGCAUCAGUAGCUGCUCUUUUUUCAUAUUCACUUGUAUUUUUCAUAUCCAUACAUAUUAUUUUUUAUUGUAAUUACUCUUUUAAUAUUUUUUAAACUUAAUUGUAUUUUUUCUAUGUUGCUGUAGGAGGACCCUUUAAAAAAAUGAAGGUAGGGCAGUUUUGUCUAGUGCAUGUCACCAAAGUGGUCUGAUCCACCUCAAGAGGCGGAAAAUUCAAGCCCUCUAAUCAUAUGUGAUGUACAUACAUGAGAAAAAAA